Bufo gargarizans (Asiatic toad) is the source of this 3233-nucleotide long non-coding RNA. RefSeq lists it as uncharacterized. The record is from RefSeq and is a predicted model, not a curated record. NCBI's taxonomy places the organism in Eukaryota, Metazoa, Chordata, Amphibia, Anura, Bufonidae. The transcript is spliced from 2 exons.
AUGUGCAAACAGACUUCUCUAGCAGGGGUUCGAAAUUUCCACUAUAUCAUUCAGUAAAAGCGAUGGUUCUACAGUUUUGCCACAGGUUCUAUAGCAAGAGUCAUCUAUUCAAAUAUAAUUGUCUGCCAUACAGUUUCCGAAAAAUGUAGAACCAAAUAAACCGAUGACGCAGUCAGGGACUAUUUUUCAUAGCUGGGCGGAAGCAUUACUGCAGCAGUGCGCUGUUAGUCCUUGUGAGUGUAUAUAAGGAGAGUGUGUGGAAGCAGGCGCGGCACAGUGCAGACGGCAGAAGAAAGAGGAAGAAUGAAGGAAACGGGGAGGACGCUCAGCUGUGAAAGCCUUGGUGACCCAGAAGACGGAUCUGUCGAGAGAAGAUAAUCCACUGACGUGAGCAGGAACAUGUCCGCACUGUAGGGGGAUAUAAUGAAGUACUCAGGAGACGUGCCUAGAAGCCAAGACAGAAAAGUGCUGUGAUCAGGUUCUCCUACCUUGUUUUGAAUGUGGCUUAAUCUACCGAGUGUCUCUGCAGCCCUUGUGAUAGGUGCGGCUGCUCCCAGUGAAUGUGUGCCGUGAGUUACCACUAGGUGGCAGUAUGAUUCUACCAGUUACAGUAAGCCUGACAGAUGAGCACUCGCUGUGGGGAGGGGGUGGGUGGGGGAACAUUGAGUUUUCUCCAAAUUUUAUUUUACAGGUGUUAUGAACUUGUCUGAAGUCUUAAGGUGAAAAAUUAAAAGCUCCAUCAGCAGCUCUAAACUUAAAUGAAAUGUUCAAGUUACUUUCUAAAGAAGGCUAAUACAGGCAUCUGAUACUGGUAUAUAAUUUUGGUAUCUGGUUUACUUUGGGGUUCCCAGUCUGAGUUAACCACUUAGUCUCCUUAGUUAGGGCCAAGUCUAAAUGUGGGGGGGAGGAAGAGAAUAACAGCCUGUAGGCUAGUAAGUUGCUAAAGCCUAUGUGCUCUGAGGAUCCUCUGACCUCACAGCGUCACGUGGCAUGUGAAGCCUCCAGCCCACCAUCAUUAGGGUUAGGUAUUACUGAUGGAUAUCACCGUGCAUGGUAUUUAGCCCUGCUGCUAUAUACUACCAGACUCGAGCAUGUCACGUGACACGUAGUUCACAGGAUUUAGCCAUUAGCCUGUAGUUAUGAUCCUCUAUAAUUUAUGGGUAGUAGUUAAUGAUAUAGGGAUAGUGGUACGCCCAGUCACUGGGGGUGGGGUGGGUUAUAAAUGGCUAUUUUUAGAUUCUUUACAGAACACACCCACAUGUCAAGCACUACCUGUUCCUGCCAAGACCUACAGUGGAUCCUUAGAUGAUGCUUCCCUUAGCCUGUGAUGUACUACAGCCCAGUGUACCAUUAGGAGCUUGGGUCCUUAUCUUGUGAGCCUGAGGUGUUCCCUACCUGUGCCAGUGGUUUCUGCAUCUGAAGGUCCCAGUGCUACUGUCCAGUCAGUGGAAGGACUUCUUGGUUCCUGUUGAUCCCAUCAUCAAAUCUCCUAGCUUUGGGUCCCUAAUAAAGAUGAGCAUCUAGAAAGCCCCCCCUUCCUCCAUUUGUCUUGGAGCGUUACCGUGUGAGAGAGGUCGCUCACUACAUGUCCGUGGUAUUCUGCAAGCCAAAGUCCAGUUACUAUUCUCCUGCAAUCGUCACAUGCCCCAUCCCCUAAUGAAGAUGAGCAUCUAGAAAGCCCCUUCCUCCAUUUGUCUUGUGAGCAAGAGGUCAUUCCCUAAAGCCAAGCCAAAAUCCUGUUACUACUGCCCAGUGAGUGGGAGAACUCUGCUGAUCGUCACUUGCCCUAUCCCCUAAUAAAGAUGAGCUGCUAGUGUGGUCCCUUGUUAGCCCUAGCCCUGUAAGGGCUUGUUAAGUUGCUGAACUGUAUAAUUUUGUGCACAUUGAAGAAAGGCUAUCACCUUAAGAACUCUUGUGUAAGAUGAAUACCUCUACAUAAGUCAAGAACUUUUCUUCCAGAGCGAUACCUGUUCUAAAUCAUGUAGUAGGGCUGGAAGUGAAAUGUUUGAUUCUUUUAUAUUUGAGGGGAUGUUAAUGUUUACUGCAUCGCUGAUUGACCUGUAUUUGAGGGGGUGAUAUCUUUGUGUAUAUUAUGCAAUAUUUUUUUAGUUCCUUGCUGUAAUGUGUGUGCCAUAUUUGAGAAGCCUGUAGCGUCGGUGUGCCACAUGAGCACAUAGUUUGCAUGCGUUUCCCAAUUUGUGCUUUGUAUUUGUUGAGCGCUUAUUUAAUUCCUACUUGCCUCCUGUGAUUAAUUCUAGACCUCAAUGAUUAGGUCUAAUAGUGUCUGUGUCUAGUUACUGGUACACUUAAUAUCAGGGCGAGUAUAUUUGCUGAAUGAGGUAUCAAAUGAUUAACUAGCAUUAAAACACUACACUAUCCUGCUAAUUCAAUUAAACACUACAAUAUCAUGAUAAACCGAUCAAAAAGAGUACAUAAGAGGAAGUCUACAGCCUAUUACUCAACCACCAGCAAUAACAGGAAAGCAUCAAAUUCUUCACUUGAGCUACAGAUCCUCCCCCACCGGAACACGCUUGGGACCAGAUACACAGGAGGCGACCUAUUCCUUUACCUUAAGGAGUCCUCUACAGCCAGGAGUGCGGAGCUCCCUGCAUAAAACAAUACUAUAAAAGUCUUCCAAGUCACAAUCGUAUAACUUAGGUUUUUACUUCCAUAAAAUAAUUGCACAUCUUGGGUGUGUUUACCUAAUAACCAAGAAAUAACAAGUAAUAAAAAAAAGUUAUCAAUUAAUACCUUAUUCAUCAAACCUGUAAAUAACCUCUACAUGCUUGGAAUGAUUCCAUAAAAGGACACAACCGCCUAAACAGCCACCUUUAUUAUACAUGGACCAAUGUUAUUAAUCUUAACCAGGUGUGCCAUAUGGCUUCCUAACGCUCAACGGGUACGAUUCUUACAUGUAAUAAAUGACAACCGUAUGACUGCGCUAUAAAGUAUUCCUAAGUGAAAGCAAUUACGGCUAUAGCCUCACAUUACAGGUACUCCGGCAUCACUGCUUUUUAGUAAGGUUUUGUUGCCGCGAUAAAUACAUUCUUGUACUUGGGGUUACUAUCUAGUGCUCUUGUUGGAUGAGUGUGUGGCUUCUGCUUGAGUCUUCAGUAUUCUAGUAGGGCCUCCUGAGUGGUUUCCAUUAGUGUGCAUCACACUGUACUUAUGAGUUCACCCCAAUGUUAUAUAUUUGACAUCUUUUUCAAUAAAAGUUCAGGUAUUGAAUUGAA